RNAcentral lists this long non-coding RNA (460 nucleotides) under Sinocyclocheilus anshuiensis. RNAcentral describes it as "lncRNA (ENSSANG00000009353.1)". Lineage: Eukaryota; Metazoa; Chordata; Actinopteri; Cypriniformes; Cyprinidae. The record is from RNAcentral.
AAAAAACGUCAUCACUGUUUGCAAACACUGAAAUUGGUCUAUGGACGUCAAACCAACAGCAGCGUCGCGUCAAAUGGCGCAAUUUUUUAUUGAACGCGUCGUGAAUCUGCUACGGUAACGUUAGAUCGAUUUCACGGAAGAAAGAGGGAAAUACUGUUUCUUGGACGGCAUGAAUGCUCAGGAGGGAGGUAAAGGUCGAGCAGAGGCUAAUGACGCUUCAACACAGAAUGUUCUUUGAGAUCAGGCUCCUCGACUUGCAGCCUGGCAGCCUCUGAUUAUAACAGUGAUGGCUGGACAAGCGAAGGAAUUGCUGGAAUUGUGCUUGUGGAGCAGAACAGAACGUUUGGAGAUGUUUCCAGCAUGUGAUCAGUUAAAGAAGUUUCCCUCCACGGAAGACCUUGAGUGUGUCGGUGGAGGACAGGAUCUGAGAGUGGCACGGGAGACGCAUGCAGCCGUUUGA